Non-coding RNA from Dipodomys ordii (Ord's kangaroo rat), 73 nucleotides. NCBI's taxonomy places the organism in Eukaryota, Metazoa, Chordata, Mammalia, Rodentia, Heteromyidae. The record is from Rfam.
GGUGGCUCAGUGGUAGAGCGCUUGCCUGCUUGCCUUGCAUGCAUGAGGCCCUGGGUUCAAUUCCCCAGCACCA